Molecule: ribosomal RNA, 355 nt
Filed under: Blastocystis sp. subtype 2
Lineage: Eukaryota; Bigyra; Opalinata; Blastocystidae
Description: SSU rRNA
Rfam family: Eukaryotic small subunit ribosomal RNA
Source: RNAcentral
AGCCGCGGUAAUUCCAGCUCCUGUAUCGUAAAUAAACGUUGUUGCACUUAAAAAGCUCCUAAUUGAAGUGAGGGAGUGUGUGUUGUGAUCGAAUCAAUCGAGAGCAGUACAACCUCCCCCUUCCAAUGGGUGUAUUGGGGUAUUCAUUUACUUCAUUAAUCCUUUGGUCGUUUACUGUGAGAAAGUUAGAGUGAUCAAAGCGGGCGUUUGUUUGAGUACAUUAUCAUGGAGAAAUGAUUGAAGGCGUUCAUGUUCUAUUUGAUUGGUUUGUUCAUGGAAGCAAGGUGGAAGGAACAGUUGGAGGUAUUCCUAUUCACUACUCUUGGGUGAAAUUCUCGGAUUUAUGGAAAAUGAA